This is a non-coding RNA of Podarcis lilfordi (Lilford's wall lizard), 74 nucleotides long. Lineage: Eukaryota; Metazoa; Chordata; Lepidosauria; Squamata; Lacertidae. The record is from the annotation of a GenBank genome assembly.
GGCACCAUAGCUCAGUGGUAGAGCACCUACAUUUUGCAUGCAGAAGCCCCCAGGUUCGAUCCAUGACAUCUCCA